ACAUGCAGUCGACGGUAACAGGCCGCAAGGUGCUGACGAGUGGCGAACGGGUGAGUAAUGCAUCGGAACGUGCCCGGUCGUGGGGGAUAACACUUCGAAAGAAGUGCUAAUACCGCAUAUGAUCUGAGGAUGAAAGCGGGGGACCGUAAGGCCUCGCGCGAUCGGAGCGGCCGAUGUCAGAUUAGGUAGUUGGUGGGGUAAAGGCUCACCAAGCCAACGAUCUGUAGCUGGUCUGAGAGGACGACCAGCCACACUGGGACUGAGACACGGCCCAGACUCCUACGGGAGGCAGCAGUGGGGAAUUUUGGACAAUGGGCGCAAGCCUGAUCCAGCAAUGCCGCGUGCAGGAAGAAGGCCUUCGGGUUGUAAACUGCUUUUGUACGGAACGAAACGGUCCGGGUUAAUACCCUGGGCUAAUGACGGUACCGUAAGAAUAAGCACCGGCUAACUACGUGCCAGCAGCCGCGGUAAUACGUAGGGUGCAAGCGUUAAUCGGAAUUACUGGGCGUAAAGCGUACGCAGGCGGUUUUGUAAGACAGGCGUGAAAUCCCCGGGCUCAACCUGGGAAUUGCGCUUGUGACUGCAAGGCUGGAGUGCGGCAGAGGGGGAUGGAAUUCCGCGUGUAGCAGUGAAAUGCGUAGAUAUGCGGAGGAACACCGAUGGCGAAGGCAAUCCCCUGGGCCUGCACUGACGCUCAUGCACGAAAGCGUGGGGAGCAAAC
Molecule: ribosomal RNA, 721 nt
Filed under: uncultured bacterium
Lineage: Bacteria
Description: bacterial SSU rRNA
Rfam family: Bacterial small subunit ribosomal RNA
Source: RNAcentral